GAAAUGCGAUAAGUAGUGUGAAUCGCAGAAUUCAGUGAAUCAUCGAAUCUUUGAACGCACAUUGCGCCCCUUGGUAUUCCAUGGGGCAUGCCUGUUCGAGCGUCAUUUGUACCCUCAAGCUCUGCUUGGUGUUGGGUGUUUGUCCCCGUCUCCGCGCGUGGACUCGCCCCAAAGUGAUUGGCAGCCGGCGUACUGGUCCCGGAGCGCAGCACAUGUCGCGCAAACGAGUGCCUUGGUACGGCGGCGUCCAUAAGCCCCUCUCCCACGCUCUUGACCUCGGAUCAGGUAGGGAUACCCGCUGAACUUAAGC
RNAcentral lists this unclassified non-coding RNA (310 nucleotides) under plant metagenome. RNAcentral's name for it is "partial contains 5.8S ribosomal RNA, internal transcribed spacer 2, and large subunit ribosomal RNA". The stretch from base 1 to 105 matches the Rfam family "5.8S ribosomal RNA", at positions 50 to 154 of the family's 154-position model. The record is from RNAcentral.